GAUGGGUAAUCUGAGGUAUAGAUAAAUAAUUUGUUGCAUAUUACACAGCUCAUAGAAGUAGAUCAGGCUAAUAGCUCACAAAGUUGGGUCUAGUAUCUGUUUAUGCCAUUAUGCUGUAUUUCAUUUCUGGGUAAAAUAUCUUGUGGCAAAGACAUAUUUCACAGCCAUCCACAUGGAGGAACUUUGUCUUGCCAACUCCAUUAAGCAUGUGAACAAAAAGUUACAGAAUGUUCAAAGUAAUGUUUCCAUUUGGAAGCAAGGGGACAGAUGGCACUGUCUUAUUUAGUAAGGAAGUCACUGUCACUGAAGGUGUUUGAGCAGAGGUGGGAUGACUUUUGUACUCUUUCAGUUCCUUAGAAAGACUUUAGUUAUUUUCUAUAAAAUAAAAAAUGUAAAUCUUUGCUUUUUGAAAUUUAAAUCAGGUUGAUUACUAAAGGAGCAAACAACUUUAACAUAUCCCCAUAGCAUCCUCAGACAUAAUCUCAUUACACUUACAGACUCAGGAGUCUGAAUAUACAGAAGAACUGCUAGGGGGGAAUUAUUUUUCAGACUGCUCCGACCUAUUGCUAUGGGAACUGAGUGAAUCUCCCAUAAUCCCAUUCCCACCUUAAGAAACAGAAACACCAUUCUUCCCAUCUAUAGAUGUGUUAGUCAGCUUUCCAUGAUUGUAACAAAAUAUCUGAGGCAAUUAACUUAUAAAAAGAAAAGUUUCAUUUUGGCUCAUGGUUCUGGGGGUUCCAGUCCAAAAUUUAGUUGCCUGUUGCUCUGGGCCCCUGGCAAGGAUAGCACUUAAAGGCAGAAGUGUGUGGUGGAGCAAACUACUCACUUAUAGGAUCUAGAAAGCAAAUCCCUAUGAUCCCAUAAUCCCCACAAAUGAGAAGGAAAAGUUUGUUGUUAUUAGUCACUGAGAUUUGGGGGUUGUUUGGUGCUAGAGUAUAAGUAUACUGAAGCUAGUACCAACAGUGGGGUAUUACCAUAAAAAAGCCUAAAAAUAUGUGGUCUUGGUUUAAGAGCCAAUGCCUAAGUGAGAAAACGUAAAAGGUUGCUGGAAAAUUACAAACCCUCCUUAAACAAUAGCACACAUUUGGUAAAAUCGCUGUCCUCAAAACUUGCAUGAAAAGUGUGGUGGGUAAAGAGGUUUUAAGACAGAAUGUUGGCAGCAUGGGUUGGUUAGUUUUAGCUGCAUUUGUUAAAAUACUACAAGCAAGGGAUGCUCAUAAAAUUGGCUUAUUUUCAAGCUAGUAUUGUAGGGAAAAGAAUAUAAAACAAAUUUCAAGACUUAUAAGAUUGAAAGUUGCAACUGUUUUCGUUCAACUUAUGAGAAAAUUUUAAAAUGCCUGAAUCAAAAAGGCUAUUUAAGACAAUGCUGAAUUGAGGGUGUGAUGUUCAGGCCUUCUAGUAAGAUCUCUGAUUUGAUUAUGUGGACCUCAGUAAACUCUUUUAAAUAGACAAAAAAACUCAAGGAAAAGUGACUAAAGGCUCUACAGAAGCCUGAUAAAUAAAAUGUACCUGCAACCAAGUCUACAGAGGAAUAAAAGUGUAUUGGCAGGGAAUGGGGUUGUAGCUUGGUGGUAGAGUACUUGCCUAGCACACGUGAGGCACUGGGUUCAAUCCUCAGCAGCACAUAAAAAUAAAAUAAAGGUAUUUUGUUCACCUACAACUAAUAUAUAUAUAUAUAUAU
RNAcentral lists this long non-coding RNA (1681 nucleotides) under Marmota monax (woodchuck). The record is from RNAcentral. Lineage: Eukaryota; Metazoa; Chordata; Mammalia; Rodentia; Sciuridae.